GGAGCCCUAAGGAUCUAUUCCUUGCGUGAUCAACAAGGAUCAAAAUCAUCCGAGGAGAGCAGAGGUUGCAUGGGUGAAACUCCGGCCUUGAGUUGGUAGAUAUGAGAUUUAGGGUUAAGAUCGAGGAUGAUAUGAAGGAAGGGGGAAUUAGCCAUAAUGAUCUUUUCUAAUUCCUUGCAUGAACAAGGAUAAAAUCCUCCGAAGAGAGGAGAGGAGAAGAGAGGAGAGCUUCGUCACAAAGAGAAGCUAGUGGGUCGAACUCAUUGGGGUAUGAAUUAAGUGUCAACUGGAUUCAAUCUUAUGACUUGUUAGAUAUAGUUAGUUAAGUAGUUUUUUGUAUUCCUAUAAAUAAUAACAUGUAUCAUGUAUGACUUAACUUUUGG
This 383-nucleotide long non-coding RNA is filed under the name Zostera marina. RNAcentral describes it as "long non-coding RNA (ZMAR_LNC005532)". Lineage: Eukaryota; Viridiplantae; Streptophyta; Magnoliopsida; Alismatales; Zosteraceae. The record is from RNAcentral.